CUCUCUCUAACCCUCGUUCCCCUCUCUUCCCCUUCCUCUCCACUUCCCCCCUCUCUCUGUCCCCCUCUCUCUCUCCCUCUCUCCCCUCUCUCUAACCCUCGCCUUCCCCACUCUCUUCACCUCCCUCCUCCUUUCUCCCCCUCCCUUUCCUGCUCUCCUCAUUUUCUCUCUCUCUCUCUCGCAGUGCAUGCUGGGAGUUUUUGGGAGUUUGAGUGUUUGGUGUGGAGGGCUCUGUCCUAACUAACUUUCUUGAUUAUUUUCUUUACAUGGUAUUUUCUAUGGUGGAGGGUUAAUGCAAUAUUUGUUUUAGUGGUAUCCACAGCUUUUUCAAAGUUAGGGUGGAAGAGGACAGAGUUAGUUUCCUGGGGUUUGGAAGGUGUGGUGUGCGCGGAGGAGAUGCUGUCGAUAUGGCAUGGAUUCAGGUGUGUUCCUGAGAAUGGAGUUAAGGUGGAGGAGGUUCUGCUCACGGUCGGUGAACAGUGGAGCGAUUGGAGAGGCAGUCUGCAGAGCUGAGACUGGCCCCACAGCAGCCAUGGAGAACACAUUCAACACACGGAGAUAACCACACAGCACCGGAACAGUCUACGGCAUUGCAGUGCUAGAGGCAUCACUACAGACCUGGGUUCGAUCCCGGCCUGUAUCACAACCGGCCUAGAUCGGGAGUCCCAUAGGGCGGCAGACAAUUGGCCCAGCGUCAUCUGGGUUAGGGGAGGGUUUGGCCAGGGUAGGUCGUCAUUGUAAAUAAGAAUUUGUUCUUAACUGACUUGACUGGUUAAAUAAAGGUUAAAUAAAUGAAAUAAUCUCCAUAUGGCAUUGAUGUAUACAUGAUGGAUAUGUGGAGUAACUAGCUCAACUCUAGAUUGGUUUUCUUCAUCGAAUCGGACUGAAAAGUAUGUUUAAAAGCCACAGCUGCACACACACACACACACACACACACACACACACACACACACACACACACACACACACACACACACACACACAUCAUUGGUUGUGUGUCUCAGCAUGGGCCCAUUUCCAAUCAAAGCGCUGGGGUCAGCAGUAAGGAUGUCUCUAGAACUGUUUUCUCUAAUCACUAACUGAUUAGACAUUUCACACUGAGACAGACCUCAUCAGAAUCCUUCAUGUGUUCAGUCACACAUCUAUGCAAGUUUGUGUGUGUGUGUGUGUGUGUGUGUGUGUGUGUGUGUGUGUGUGUGUGUGUGUGUGUGUGUUUUAAUGAGAGUCUGAAGUUAAGUUUUGGCUAGUUGGCUUUAGCGUCCAGCAGAGACAUAAACAUGUUGAUAUCUCUGAUGUCCAUCAGAUGUUGUUUUUACUGGAAAUAUCAGUUCCCCAUCUGAAAAGUUUAGGUCUAACUUGUAUUAUUCAAUGAAAGAAAGUGAGGACCUAACCAAAUGUUUCUACUGGUUCUUUUAACUAUCUGGGAAUUAUGGACUAACGUUUGGCAGAGGACUCUAAAAAGUCCUGUUUUGUUGUCUGUGUGUGUGUUUGUGUAUAGCCACUGUCCAGGUGAUAAAUAUGUCCCUAGGAGGGGUGUGUCACUUGAGUGGGUUGAGUCACUGACGUGAUCUUCCUGUCCGGGUUGGCGUCCCCCCCCUCGGGUUUGUGCCAUGGGGGAAAUCUUUGUUGGCUAUACUUGGCCUUGUCUCAG
This 1651-nucleotide long non-coding RNA is filed under the name Salmo salar (Atlantic salmon). RNAcentral's name for it is "lncRNA (ENSSSAG00000110702.1)". The record is from RNAcentral. Lineage: Eukaryota; Metazoa; Chordata; Actinopteri; Salmoniformes; Salmonidae.